UACGUAGGGGGCAAGCGUUGUCCGGAAUUAUUGGGCGUAAAGCGCGUGCAGGCGGCGGAUUAAGUCGGAUGUUUAAGAUCGGGGCUCAACCCCGAUUCGCAUCCGAAACUGGCCCGCUUGAGUGUAGGAGAGGAAAGUGGAAUUCCACGUGUAGCGGUGAAAUGCGUAGAGAUGUGGAGGAACACCAGUGGCGAAGGCGACUUUCUGGCCUAUAACUGACGCUGAGGCGCGAAAGCGUGGGGAGCAAACAGG
RNAcentral lists this ribosomal RNA (252 nucleotides) under uncultured bacterium. RNAcentral's name for it is "partial 16S ribosomal RNA". It matches the Rfam family "Bacterial small subunit ribosomal RNA", at positions 524 to 776 of the family's 1533-position model. The record is from RNAcentral.